CCAAACUAAUGGAUUUCAAUCACCUUCUUCCUCAUCAUUUCUGGAAUUUCUUUCAACAUUGGCAUAGUGUGUCACUGGAUGGCGCUAUCGGUCAAAUUACACUAGUGUCCCGGGAGAGAGAGAGAGAGAGAGAGAGAGAGAGAGAGAGAGAGAGAGAGAGAGAGUGCGUUGCGCCACCGGAAGUUCAAAACGCUUGUUCGUCACGUGAUUCAUGUACACUUCAAGAAGUUAUUUGCGGGCUUUCUUAAACUUCUCGCGCUACACCACCAUGUCCCUUUAGGGGCGCCGUACCGCUACAGCCUGGCAGAGGGUAUAUAAACUGAGGUUUGAGUCCAGCGCGCGCAUAACGGUCGUCCCUGCUGAGAGGAUCUCCAGACAGCGAGUGAGUUUUCCUGAGUGUCCUGAUUCUUUACACCUCUUGUAGUGAAAUCCAGACGACGCUCUUCAGGAAAAUGUCCACAGACUCCUGCUGCUACUGGCUCAGAUGUCAAGUUUAGUCAUGUGUCUGAUUUCUCUUUUCAUUUUUAAACUCUGAGAACUUGUUGAUAAUUAAAUAACCAUUACAACACUAUAUACAACAAGCAGAACACUUCCCAGCAAACACACCACCCUCUGAUGAUGACAGUGAUGUCACCACGUCUUGGUAAAGUUGGCAUUUGAAUAUAAUAUGGGAAAUUUACUAAAUGUAUCAAACAUUUUACUUAAAUACAUGAAUCGAGGUCUGAAUUUGAAUUUUAUUAUCUUUUGAUGUUUGUCAUACAUCAAUGGCAAAUCUCUGCAGCAAAAUGGUAAUUUACAACACCCAACAACCAUUCUGCUUAGUAAAUGGUGAUUAUUCAUAAUAUUAUAUCUUUGUGAAUGAAAGAGAUUUUUAAAAUGCUGAUCUAAAGGGUCUGUAGUGUAUGAAUGGGUGUGUGAAUGUGUAUGUGAUUGUGCCCUGCGCUGGACUGACACCCUGUCCAGGGUGUACCCUGAAAAGGAGUAAGCGGUUGAAGAUGGAUGGAUGGACUAUCAAAAAGGCUUUAGGUGUGUUGUAUCAGUAUCAUUACUGUUGGGAAUCAGUCUAACUGUCCUGUUCAAACAGACAUAUUAAUGGGUCCGAGUUUGGGAAGCUCUGCCUGUUCUUUAGCACAGAAAUGAUAAAAUUGCAUAUGCAGCCCCCCAAAAAACUGCUGAAACACCACCGUCAAUUCUUUUGUUUGUGCUGUACACCAAAGACAUUUGGGAUUGAGAUCAAAACAUGAAUAUGAGACGAGAGAUUAAAGAUUUCAGCUUUUAUUUCCUGGUAUUUACGUCUAGACGUGUUAAACAACA
Molecule: long non-coding RNA, 1314 nt
Organism: Ictalurus punctatus (channel catfish)
Lineage: Eukaryota; Metazoa; Chordata; Actinopteri; Siluriformes; Ictaluridae
Source: Ensembl